CCACAAUGUCUACGGUACGAUACAUGACCAUACUAUACUUUACGUAGUCUACAAAGCCUCUAGACAAAAAACAUUAUCUUACAAGGGUCGGGACAGGCCCCGCCUCAUGAUAAGAUACUAUACAAUACAAAAAGAUAUGAUAAGACUCAAAGCCCCGAAGCAACCUGGAGCUCAGUGACUGCAGUUGAUAUCCUGUACUCUUACUGGGGAGGUUUAUUAGCUUCUGUACCUGCAGCAUGGAAUGCAGGUCCCCCAAGAGGGACGUCAGUACGAAAUAAUGUACUGAAUAUGUAAGGCAACAUGUACUAUAUAUGAGAUAAAAACUCAAAUGAAACCAUGUACUGCUGUAGGGUAAAAGACCACCUUUAUGAAUAUUGUGGAGUCAUGUAUCUUAUAACAAUUAUGUUACUUUACUCUUAUUGCUUGUAUAAUCUGUGCACAGCAUGUAAUACAGAUGACCAGCUGAUCAGUGGUAAAUCUAUAUCAGGAUCGACCCAUGCUAGGCUUUCCUUUCACCCCUGGGAUACCCCCUGGAAUGCUGGGAUUGACCCAUGCUAGG
Molecule: long non-coding RNA, 559 nt
Filed under: Capsicum annuum
Lineage: Eukaryota; Viridiplantae; Streptophyta; Magnoliopsida; Solanales; Solanaceae
Description: long non-coding RNA (CANN_LNC011540)
Source: RNAcentral